This 273-nucleotide ribosomal RNA is filed under the name uncultured bacterium. RNAcentral describes it as "partial 16S ribosomal RNA". It matches the Rfam family "Bacterial small subunit ribosomal RNA", at positions 524 to 796 of the family's 1533-position model. The record is from RNAcentral.
UAAGAAGGGUGCAAGAGUUAAUCGGAAUUACUGGGCGUAAAGCGCGCGUAGGUGGUUCGUUAAGUUGGAUGUGAAAGCCCCGGGCUCAACCUGGGAACUGCAUCCAAAACUGGCGAGCUAGAGUACGGUAGAGGGUGGUGGAAUUUCCUGUUGAGCGGUGAAAUGCGUAGAUAUAGGAAGGAACACCAGUGGCGAAGGCGACCACCUGGACUGAUAAGGAAACUGAGGUGAGCAAGCGUGGGGAGCACACAGGCGGCGAUAACCGGGUAGUCC